RNAcentral lists this ribosomal RNA (501 nucleotides) under uncultured bacterium. RNAcentral describes it as "partial 16S ribosomal RNA". It matches the Rfam family "Bacterial small subunit ribosomal RNA", at positions 28 to 523 of the family's 1533-position model. The record is from RNAcentral.
GAUGAACGCUGGCGGCAUGCCUUACACAUGCAAGUCGAACGGCAGCACGGGUGCUUGCACCUGGUGGCGAGUGGCGAACGGGUGAGUAAUACAUCGGCACGUACCUUAUCGUGGGGGAUAACGCAGCGAAAGUUGCGAUAAUACCGCAUACGCCCUGAGGGGGAAAGCGGGGGACCGGAAGGCCUCGCGCGAUGAGAGCGGCCGAUGGCUGUAUAGCUUGUUGGUGAGGUAAAAGCUCACCAAGGCGAUGAUCAGUAGCUGGACUGAGAGGACGAUCAGCCACACUGGGACUGAGACACGGCCCAGACUCCUACGGGAGGCAGCAGUGGGGAAUUUUGGACAAUGGGGGCAACCCUGAUCCAGCAAUGCCGCGUGAGUGAAGAAGGCCUUCGGGUUGUAAAGCUCUUUUGUCAGGGAAGAAACAGCAGCUCUAACACAGUCUGCGAAUGACGGUACCUGAAGAAUAAGCACCGGCUAACUACGUGCCAGCCGCCGCGGUAA